Long non-coding RNA from Cydia fagiglandana, 370 nucleotides. RefSeq lists it as uncharacterized. The transcript has 2 exons. The record is from RefSeq and is a predicted model, not a curated record. Lineage: Eukaryota; Metazoa; Arthropoda; Insecta; Lepidoptera; Tortricidae.
GGCCUUAAACCUCAAUUCCAUGGACUUGAGUUCACUUCAAGUUCAUGGAAUUGAGAGCUUAUAAUUAUAAUCUAAUAGAAAUACAAAUGAACUUUGGAGUUCCCUUUAUACUAGAUAUUUUUCGAAUGGACAUUGAAAAGCAUGCUAAAAAACUCUGUAUUAUGUUCGUGCUGCAGCUCGUGAUUGACCAUUUGAAAGAGAUGCAGCUAUCUAAUAGAAGAGGUGAGAGAUAUGCAGGACAUAAUAGUAUAGUAAUAGUAACUCUAUUGUAUAGCUGUAUUUAUUUCGGUUAUAUGACGCUCUAUAAAUUGCAAACGUAAAAUUUUAUGCCACAUACUGUUACUACAAACUCAACAAAGGGGUUUUUAUG